CGGUCAUUACCAAGGCUUUUAGAAUGCAGUUUCUCAUUUGCCAUGGACAUGACCACAAAAAUAUUUUUCCACUAGGUUUUUUCCUGCUAUAUUGCUAGCAUUCAGUCUAUUGGGAACAUUU
Molecule: small nucleolar RNA, 121 nt
Organism: Phyllostomus hastatus (greater spear-nosed bat)
Lineage: Eukaryota; Metazoa; Chordata; Mammalia; Chiroptera; Phyllostomidae
Product: small nucleolar RNA SNORA32
Exons: 1
Source: RefSeq, a predicted model, not a curated record